This 1277-nucleotide long non-coding RNA is filed under the name Homo sapiens (human). RNAcentral describes it as "HSALNT0386756". Lineage: Eukaryota; Metazoa; Chordata; Mammalia; Primates; Hominidae. The record is from RNAcentral.
UGUCUCGGGCAACCUGUAAACAGCCCAAGAGUUAGAUAAAAUUGCUGCCUCAUUCUACUGAGAAAAAGGGCCACUGCAGGGGCCAUCCUGGAGGGAGUCACAAUGCAGGAGGACAGUGGCAAGUUCAAGAGCUACUGCAGCCGGGGAACAGCAGGACAGCAGCACGUUCAAGGGCUCUUGCAGCAGGGCAUAGCAGGGAAAGGCCUCCCUGGGUCUAACCAAUUUACUCCUAUUGAUUUUCAGAUCAGAGGGGUUCAGCUCACAAAUCAAAAGAUGGUUUUCCCUCCCUGCUGCUAAAUCUGCAGCCUCUCCCAGACACCUCACAAAUUCUGCUUUGAUCUUGAUUAGCCUGGAUGCUUCUAGGUUGGAAACUGUAUGGAGGAGGCAGAGAUCUAAAGGCUCUUUUUCUCAAUUGUCAAAUGGAAAUAAGAGCCAUUCCAGCCUUAUGGCUAAGGAACUGGAGCUUCAGAAUCAAACAGAACUGGGUUCAACUCCCACCUAUGUCCUGUGUUACCUCAGGCAAGUCACAUCACCUCUCUGAGCCUCCAUUCCUUCAUCUGAAAAAUAAGCUUCCAGCAAUUCUGGACUCUCAGAGUCAUUGUGAGAAUGACUCAAGAUGAUGCACAUAGAAGUAUUUAACACUUGAAUGGCUUCUAGCAAGAUCAGGAAACACCACCUAUUACUACUAAAUGGGGCUUUGGUAAGAAUAAAACAGAAUCAUGUGUGUAAAGUGCUUUGAAAAGUACAAAGGACUGAAAAGACUCUGAAGGCUUCUGGAAAUCAGUCUACCACAUUUUGGAGCUGGGGUUAGGAAAGACCCUUGGAAGAGGAUCCAAAGAAAGACACUCCAGAGCAAGAUAUAUAGGAGGCCCAAGGACAACCUGCAGUGCAGGGCAGGCCACUUUCUGGGGCUCCAGGUGUUUUCUAUAUGAUUGUGAUCUUGAUGCUCCCCACCUCACCCCACUGUCAGCCCCAAAAAUUCCCAUUGUAUACAAUUCCUUUUACAGGUGAGAGUCAUGCUGGUAACACCGCCUGUCAUCAGAGCCUUCCAGCUCUGGCAAGGACUGCUUCUUGCUAUGCCAACAACCAUUCUCACCUUCCUCCUUUAUAAAACGAUGCCAGUUGUAUUUAAGCGGCAAUAUUUCCCAGAUUCUGUUGAAUCUAGGUAUGGCCAGGUGACUAUGUUGUGGCCAACAAGAUGUAACUAGAAGUGUUUAUGGAGCUUUUGCAAAAACUCUUUGAAAAGAAAGUUAUUUCUCCCCCUUUUCCCCCUUUAU